AUUUAAUGGAGCGGCUAGUGGGAUGUUGAAAACUCGGCAAAACAUAAGCGUGUAAACUUGUAAGGUCAAUAAAAGUUCAAUAACUUAAAAUAAAAAAAGAAAGAAUUAUCAUGAAAAAGAAAGUGUUACAUGAAAUAAUGAUAAUAAUCAUUAAUAGUUUCUGAGAUACAGUGUGACAUGUGACCCCCUUUACAAAAAAAACUGACACCCCUCCCC
Molecule: long non-coding RNA, 216 nt
Filed under: Mytilus galloprovincialis (Mediterranean mussel)
Lineage: Eukaryota; Metazoa; Mollusca; Bivalvia; Mytilida; Mytilidae
Source: RNAcentral